AGUCGAACGAGAAAGUGGAGCAAUCCAUGAGUAAAGUGGCGACCGGGUGAGUAACACGUGACUAACCUACCCUCGAGUGGGGAAUAACCUCGGGAAACCGGGGCUAAUACCGCAUAACAUCUUCGGAUCAAAGGAGCAAUCCGCUGGAGGAGGGGGUCGCGGCCGAUUAGCUAGUUGGCGGGGUAACGGCCCACCAAGGCCAUGAUCGGUAGCCGGCCUGAGAGGGCGCACGGCCACACUGGAACUGAAACACGGUCCAGACUCCUACGGGAGGCAGCAGUGGGGAAUUUUGCGCAAUGGGGGAAACCCUGACGCAGCAACGCCGCGUGGAGGAUGAAGCCCCUUGGGGUGUAAACUCCUUUCGAUCGGGACGAUUAUGACGGUACCGGAUGAAGAAGCACCGGCUAACUCUGUGCCAGCAGCCGCGGUAAUACAGAGGGUGCAAGCGUUGUUCGGAAUUAUUGGGCGUAAAGGGCGCG
RNAcentral lists this ribosomal RNA (479 nucleotides) under uncultured bacterium. RNAcentral's name for it is "bacterial SSU rRNA". It matches the Rfam family "Bacterial small subunit ribosomal RNA", at positions 60 to 571 of the family's 1533-position model. The record is from RNAcentral.